This 468-nucleotide ribosomal RNA is filed under the name uncultured bacterium. RNAcentral's name for it is "partial 16S ribosomal RNA". It matches the Rfam family "Bacterial small subunit ribosomal RNA", at positions 28 to 507 of the family's 1533-position model. The record is from RNAcentral.
GACGAACGCUGGCGGCGUGCUUAACACAUGCAAGUCGAACGGAAAGUCCCUGCUUUUGUGGGGUGCUCGAGUGGCGAACGGGUGAGUAACACGUGAGUAACCUGCCCUUGACUUUGGGAUAACUUCAGGAAACUGGGGCUAAUACCUGAUAGGAGCUCCUGCUGCAUGGUGGGGGUUGGAAAGUUUCGGCGGUUGGGGAUGGACUCGCGGCUUAUCAGCUUGUUGGUGGGGUAGUGGCUUACCAAGGCUUUGACGGGUAGCCGGCCUGAGAGGGUGACCGGCCACAUUGGGACUGAGAUACGGCCCAGACUCCUACGGGAGGCAGCAGUGGGGAAUAUUGCACAAUGGGCGGAAGCCUGAUGCAGCAACGCCGCGUGCGGGAUGACGGCCUUCGGGUUGUAAACCGCUUUCGCCUGUGACGAAGCGUGAGUGACGGUAAUGGGUAAAGAAGCACCGGCUAACUACGUG